UAGAAGUAUUACAAGUAACGGUUCCUUCGAUCGUAAAGAAAAUUUCGGGGCAUCGACAAGUCUUCGAGGACCCCCAAACGCAGGCAUGCCCCCCACCCAGGCUUCAAGGGGGCUGGCCAAAGGGGACCCGGAGGUGUCGUCGCGAACGCCGUCAGGAUCAAUGAGCAGCCUGGAGGAAGUUACGUACGGCAUUGAUAGGUUGUCCUUCUGGGAUAACCAGUGUACCAGAUAUUGACAACAGUAUGGAGUGACAUUUCUAAUGGCACCACCACCGCCAUAUUUCACGCUCGGUAUGCCGCAGCCCCCGCCGCCACCCCCACUAUUUGUCGUGGGCAUACCACAGGCCCCGCCGCCAUCACCAGCCUUCGCGGCGGACAUGGAGCAGCCGCAACGCAAGAAUGUGAGUAACAGGCGGCGGCGGCAACGGCAAAAUAGACGCCGCAGAAGGACCGCGGCAAGAGAUGUACUACUAAUGCGGCCACCACCCGCGAGAACGCAACAAGAGAGACGACAGGGGCCGGUAAAUAAAUAUAUUUAUAUAACGCAAAGUU
Hylaeus anthracinus is the source of this 551-nucleotide long non-coding RNA. RefSeq lists it as uncharacterized. The record is from RefSeq and is a predicted model, not a curated record. The transcript has 4 exons. NCBI's taxonomy places the organism in Eukaryota, Metazoa, Arthropoda, Insecta, Hymenoptera, Colletidae.